GCAUUGGUGGUUCAGUGGUAGAAUUCUCUCUUGCCACGCGGGAGACUCGGGUCCGAUUCCCGGCCAAUGCA
Danio rerio (zebrafish) is the source of this 71-nucleotide non-coding RNA. NCBI's taxonomy places the organism in Eukaryota, Metazoa, Chordata, Actinopteri, Cypriniformes, Danionidae. The record is from Rfam.